UGAGUAACCUGCCCUUGACUCUGGGAUAAGCGUUGGAAACGACGUCUAAUACCGGAUACGAGCUUCCACCGCAUGGUGAGUUGCUGGAAAGAAUUUUGGUCAAGGAUGGACUCGCGGCCUAUCAGCUUGUUGGUGAGGUAACGGCUCACCAAGGCGACGACGGGUAGCCGGCCUGAGAGGGUGACCGGCCACACUGGGACUGAGACACGGCCCAGACUCCUACGGGAGGCAGCAGUGGGGAAUAUUGCACAAUGGGCGAAAGCCUGAUGCAGCAACGCCGCGUGAGGGACGACGGCCUUCGGGUUGUAAACCUCUUUUAGCAGGGAAGAAGCGAAAGUGACGGUACCUGCAGAAAAAGCACCGGCUAACUACGUGCCAGCAGCCGCGGUAAUACGUAGGGUGCAAGCGUUGUCCGGAAUUAUUGGGCGUAAAGAGCUCGUAGGCGGUUUGUCGCGUCUGCUGUGAAAUCCCGAGGCUCAACCUCGGGUCUGCAGUGGGUACGGGCAGACUAGAGUGCGGUAGGGGAGAUUGGAAUUCCUGGUGUAGCGGUGGAAUGCGCAGAUAUCAGGAGGAACACCGAUGGCGAAGGCAGAUCUCUGGGCCGCUACUGACGCUGAGGAGCGAAAGGGUGGGGAGCAAACAGGCUUAGAUACCCUGGUAGUCCACCCCGUAAACGUUGGGCGCUAGAUGU
Molecule: ribosomal RNA, 691 nt
Filed under: Plantibacter sp. EECC-683
Lineage: Bacteria; Bacillati; Actinomycetota; Actinomycetes; Micrococcales; Microbacteriaceae
Description: bacterial SSU rRNA
Rfam family: Bacterial small subunit ribosomal RNA
Source: RNAcentral